Molecule: ribosomal RNA, 429 nt
Filed under: uncultured bacterium
Lineage: Bacteria
Description: bacterial SSU rRNA
Rfam family: Bacterial small subunit ribosomal RNA
Source: RNAcentral
UGGGGAAUUUUGGACAAUGGGCGAAAGCCUGAUCCAGCCAUGCCGCGUGAGUGAAGAAGGCCUUCGGGUUGUAAAGCUCUUUCGCGAGGGAAGAAAAUGUAUGGGCUAAUACCCUGUGCAGAUGACGGUACCUUGAUAAGAAGCACCGGCUAACUACGUGCCAGCAGCCGCGGUAAUACGUAGGGUGCGAGCGUUAAUCGGAAUUACUGGGCGUAAAGGGUGCGCAGGCGGUUUUUUAAGACAGACGUGAAAUCCCCGGGCUCAACCUGGGAAUGGCGUUUGUGACUGGAAGGCUAGAGUAUGGCAGAGGGGGGUAGAAUUCCACGUGUAGCAGUGAAAUGCGUAGAGAUGUGGAGGAAUACCGAUGGCGAAGGCAGCCCCCUGGGCCAAUACUGACGCUCAUGCACGAAAGCGUGGGGAGCAAACAGG